UGGUACAGCUGGGAUUGUAGUCCUGCAGCCUUGUGGCCGAAGGGCUGGGAGUGGCUAUGAGAUUACAUCUCCCAGCAAGCUCAGCGAAGCGCGCGCAGCUCCGCCCCUUCCUCCAGUGAUGCGCACAGUCCCUGAUCCCUGUGCACGCUGGGAUUGUAGUCCUGCAGCCCUGUGAUCACUGGCUGGUAACAAAAAAUUUCAGCUCACGGAAUGGUAGGCGAAGGCCCCCAACCUCAACCUCGCUCCUCCAUGCCUUCACAGCAGUUCUGCCAUGCGGAGGGGGAGCCUGCCUGUUCUUUAACCUCUCCUACCUGAUGGGAGAGGGCAAGCUACCAGGGCAGCUUGUCUCACCAAGUAAUUGUGAUCCCGUAUCCCCCAACGUGCUGGCUUCUUGACUUCCAAAGUUGUGGCAAGGUAAGAAGAACUACAGAGGAAGAACCUACUGCAGACAUUUCCCAGGAGACUUUAACUGAAGCAUCAGCAAAACUGAAAGGUAAUGGGAGAAUCUUGUGCCUCUGAGGAUGUCUUUCCCAUGGAUCCCUGCUCAGUUGCCUUUUACAGGUCCCCUGAUUUGCCUGAACUCCUGACCUCAGGUGAUCCAUCUGCCUUGGCCUCCCAAAGUGCUGGAAUUACAGGCAUGAGCCACCAUGCCUGGCCUGUUCCGUGCAUU
Long non-coding RNA from Cercocebus atys (sooty mangabey), 670 nucleotides. RefSeq lists it as uncharacterized. Lineage: Eukaryota; Metazoa; Chordata; Mammalia; Primates; Cercopithecidae. The transcript is spliced from 2 exons. The record is from RefSeq and is a predicted model, not a curated record.